Molecule: ribosomal RNA, 34 nt
Filed under: Myriophyllum sibiricum
Lineage: Eukaryota; Viridiplantae; Streptophyta; Magnoliopsida; Saxifragales; Haloragaceae
Description: partial 26S ribosomal RNA
Source: RNAcentral
CCCCAGGUCAGGCGGGACUACCCGCUGAGUCUAA